RNAcentral lists this long non-coding RNA (1605 nucleotides) under Homo sapiens (human). RNAcentral's name for it is "HSALNT0040138". Lineage: Eukaryota; Metazoa; Chordata; Mammalia; Primates; Hominidae. The record is from RNAcentral.
ACCAACUCUUUUCUACAGGCUUUCACUGAGUGCUCACAGAAAGAUCAGGAGAGCAAGACAGAAACCCCAAGACACAGAUGUUCAGAGCUUCUCAAGUCUGAGCAGGUGAACUGAAGGAAAUCCCACAGGCACUUUGGUCAUGGUGAUUAUAAGGCAGCAACUCUCUACCACUGGGGGAGGAACAGGUGAGCUGAGUGCACAGUGAGGCACGGUGCAUGGAGUCUGCUGAAGUCCAAAGGCUGAGGGGAGAACUGAGAAACUCCAUUGGCUUUCUGGACAUUACAUUGCACACUAGACAACAGCCAUCUGCUACUGGGGAGAUGCUGGAGAGCUGAGAGAAACAUCCCCUCUUCUCCAGGUACAAGUGUGCCAAGCCUGCUGGAGUCUAAGAAGAACUACAGGAAACCCCACAGACACUAUGGUCCUUACCUAAUAAGGUAAAGACCAUCUACCUAUUGGGGGAGGGGCCAGAGAGCUAAGAAAGACAUCUCACUCCAAACCCAAGUGCACAGGUAUUGCUGAAGUCCAGGGGCAGAACAAGAAUAUUAAGAGAAACCCCCAGCUACUCCAUGCCUUUCACUGAGUAUGUGACAGCUCUCCUAAGAGCUGAGACAGGCAUGAAGCAAAGGCAAACCGGGCUGGCUAAAGUACUAGGGCAGGAAAGAAGGACUGAUCAACUCCCUCAGGCACUCAUACCUCAAGUUCUGAUUUCUCCAUUGAACAAUGUGAAGCCUGUGGUGAAUUGAAUCUAACUAAAUCAACAACAAUUUCAGACCUAGAUCAAUUAGACUAAAUUAUCUCAAAAAUUCUAGUGUAAAAAUAAGCUUAUGGCCUUCCAGAAUAAAAAUGCCUGCCCUUUUCUGGAUAUGAAUAUUAUUUUCUUCUGACUCUACUGUUCAUUUAUAAUUAAUCAAAAAUUAUAAGGCACAUGAGCAAAAUCUCUGGACAGGUGGACAAUUUCAGAGCCAAAUGAAGAUGCUAGAAAUGAAAAAUACUUUAUCGAUAAAGAAUUUUAACACAUUGUUAGCACACAAGACACAGAAAAGGAAAGAACCGUGAAAGUGAAGACAAUUUGUAUCUCAGCACUCUACUUGCAUUCAAGAUAUCUGAUACAUUUAAAACAGCCAAACAAACACAAACGUUGAGUUCUAGGAAAAAUUUAAAUGACCUAGAAUUUUCUAAAAUAUAUGAAAUUCCAUCAACGCAAGAUGGAAUAAGCUCUGAAAACCCAAAGAAGAAUGAAUUCAAAGAAAUACCAGUAAAAGCACCCAUAGACACAUCAGAAUCAAACAGAUGAAUUCCAAACAUAAAGGGAAAAUCUGGAAAAUUGGCAGAGAAAACAAGAGAGAUUACAUACAGGGGAGCAACAUAGAAAUUACAGCUUCUCACUGGAAACAAUGGAGACCAGGAGACAGUGAAAUGACAUUUUAAAGUGUUGAAAGGAAAAAAAAAUCAAUCUAGAAUUCUAUGCCAGUGAAAUCUUUUCCAAAAAUGAAACCAGCCAAAAUAAACAUAUUUUCAGGAAAACAAAAGUGAAGGAAAUUGCCUCAAGCAGAUCUCUACUACCAGGAAAUACUCAAAUAAGUUAUUUAGGCCAAAAGGAAA